UACGAAGGGGGCUAGCGUUGUUCGGAAUCACUGGGCGUAAAGCGCACGCAGGCGGUUUGAUAAGUCAGGGGUGAAAUCCCGGAGCUCAACUUCGGAAUUGCCUUUGAUACUGUCUAUCUUCGAGUUCGGGAGAGGUUGGCGGAAUUCCUAGUGUAGAGGUGAAAUGCUUAGAUAUGUUACAGAACACCAAUUGUGAAGACAGCUAACUAAGCGAUGAUUGACGCUGAGGCACGAAAGCGUGGGGAGCAAACAGG
RNAcentral lists this ribosomal RNA (254 nucleotides) under uncultured bacterium. Its description in RNAcentral is "partial 16S ribosomal RNA". It matches the Rfam family "Bacterial small subunit ribosomal RNA", at positions 524 to 776 of the family's 1533-position model. The record is from RNAcentral.